CAAGGUCUUAUUAAAUUGAAACACAAAAUAUUCUCUCCAAUUUUUUAGAGUGGUCAACUCCAUCUUGAUUCACUCACCGACUUCACAAGUACUUGACUGUGCCCAAAAAAUUUUUUGAUCCUAAAUUAAAAAUUCAGAUAGUCCGAUACUAAAGCAUAGUGAGUUGCUUGCAAGUCACCAUGGUGAUCUCAGAUCGGAGGAAUAC
RNAcentral lists this long non-coding RNA (205 nucleotides) under Elaeis guineensis (African oil palm). RNAcentral's name for it is "long non-coding RNA (EGUI_LNC058259)". The record is from RNAcentral. Lineage: Eukaryota; Viridiplantae; Streptophyta; Magnoliopsida; Arecales; Arecaceae.